GGUCCUAUAGCUCAGCUGGUUAGAGCACCUGACUCAUAAUCAGGGGGUCCCUGGUUCGAGCCCAGGUGGGACCACCU
RNAcentral lists this transfer RNA (77 nucleotides) under Allomuricauda ruestringensis DSM 13258. RNAcentral describes it as "Muricauda ruestringensis DSM 13258 tRNA-Met". It matches the Rfam family "tRNA". Rfam says of the family: Transfer RNA (tRNA) molecules are approximately 80 nucleotides in length. Their secondary structure includes four short double-helical elements and three loops (D, anti-codon, and T loops). Lineage: Bacteria; Pseudomonadati; Bacteroidota; Flavobacteriia; Flavobacteriales; Flavobacteriaceae. The record is from RNAcentral.